This 11881-nucleotide long non-coding RNA is filed under the name Equus asinus (donkey). RNAcentral's name for it is "lncRNA (ENSEASG00005036182.1)". Lineage: Eukaryota; Metazoa; Chordata; Mammalia; Perissodactyla; Equidae. The record is from RNAcentral.
CUUUUGGGUAGAUAUUUUCUACCAUUUUAUUUCCAUCUUCUUUAAGAAUGAGACAUUUGGAUUGAAGAAAAAGGCCCCAUCAUUCAUCUCAAAUCUGGUCUAUAAAACUAAGUACCUUUGAUUAUGCCUCCCUUGCAGCUUAGCCCAACUGUCACUCGACAGGCGUUUGUCGGACAAAAUCAACACUAAUCAACAUUUAUUCGUCUCUUGCCCUUGGGUCUGAGGAGCGCGAGCGGGCUGCGCCAUUCUCCCGCUCGUCUCGCCACGCUUUUCACCCUCCAUCCAGCUUCGCCAUAUAUCACCCUUCCUCCUGGUGCCUCUCCUCGGACGGAUCCACAUACUCAGCUAUCAGGGUACAUUAGAGGCAUGAUAGAUUUUCUGUUUUAAUUUACAUCUAUUAUAUUACAACAUAACAGAUUCUGAUUCAGGAGAGACCAACGUCUCCUAUAGGCAGACUCCUUGGGAGGAUUUCUGCAUUAACUUAUUAAGGUUCGUUAGGAUGCAGCUUCAGAUAGACUCCCUUGCCCGUUCUUUCCUUGUCUCCCUCUCUCCCUCUCUCUCUCCCUCCCUCCCCCCUCUCUGGCACGCUCAGUGAAGAUGUCUGGGUGCACCUUCUUCACAAGCACAGCUCAUUCUCUUUAGACUUGGCUUCCUCUGCUGGGUCACAUGAGGCCGGCUUCCUCCCGUACUUUCUGAUUGGACUUUGAUCAGCCUACGGUGGGAGUUGUGGGCCCCCCUUUCCUGCCUGGGUAAAUGGGCCUUGACAAAUCUGGUGGCUUAGAGUCAGUGGGCACCCCCUCCCAGACUUUAGUCCUAGCCCCCAGCAUCUUCUUUUGCUUUUUUUUUCCCUUUUGGUCUCAGUUACAGUUAGAUUUUAUUUUUAUUGAAACACAGUUCUACAGAGACAGAGGGAGAAACCAAAAUUGGUUGGGCUAACCAAGGAGAAGGAAGUUGAAGGGAGAACCGAAGGAGUGAGUUGAAACAAGGCUGUUUUCUUCUGUACGUGUCCAUCUUGGAAGCAUCUUACGCCAGUUUGGAACAGGGUGGCUUGUUUCUGGCAUAUGAGAUAUAUGUAUGUAUCGUUCCCUCAUAAAGUGCCUUUCCACCUCAUUUAUGAUAUUGGCUUUUUAUUUUUAUCCUUUCUCUCCCUUUCUUUCACCAGAGAUGUAGUGUUGAGUACAUCUUUUAUUUGAUGACGUAGUAUUUCCCCUUGAUUUUUGGUGGGCCUGGAGCGUUUAUGACUGUUGACUAAGGUCACAUUAAGCUUGGAUAUCUAGUCACCUGUUUGCUGGCUGCAGAGAAGAGCUUGAGAAGGGGACAGAAAUCCUCCCCUCUGCUCACCUCCUUUUACCCUGUAGUACUUUACGCACGGACACCGUGGCUUUGUCAAAUGCCCAGGGAGACUGUGUCUUUCUUCUCAAAUUGGCUGUAACGCUAGAUCCUUGGCCACUUAGAAGGCCUGAGUUUAUUAUUUUUUCCGCCAAGCUGUCGAUUCUAAACUGGAGUAAGGUUCCUUUUGUGGGCAGAAUGCUGAGGAGCCCCGGGCCGAGUUGGGGAUGUGUGGUCUGCGUGUGUUUGCCUGUGGCUGCUGAGUGUAGGCUGUGUUAGGAGGAUAGCUGAGGACUUCCAUUUUGGUUUCUUAUUACGCAGCAAUAAAGUAAAUGAUGCUUAGUAUAACUUUGCACUUACAGAACUGUAGCUCGAUUUGAGAAACAAAACUCCACCAACAGGAGUGCUCAGUAUCUUGAGCUUGGGAGACUGACCUCGUUAAUUUUAAUGAGGGGAAAAAUUCUCCAGCUGGGGCUGAGAAGAAAGUGAAAUACCGAUGAGGUUAUCACUUUGGAUGAUCUCACUGAUUUCAGAGUAGAAUCGGAACGAUGUUUGGAGAGUUUUCUAAAAUCCUGUGGAGAGAUUUAGAAGAGAAUACAUCUGCCCUUGAUGAUAUUAAGGGGCUGCUUCCCCUGGUGGGCAGAGCAGAAUUCUACGUUGUCCCUCUUAAAGGUGCUAUUAGAAAGGUGAACAUAUUAAAAAGUUAGGCUGAAAGAAAACCGAAAGAAAAACUGAAUUAAUGUGAUUCUUAUGUGGGUCUAGCCUGAAAACAAUGGAGCUGGUCUUAGAGUGGCCGAGACAGUUGACUAGAAGCCAAGGGCUUCUGAGUUCAAGUGCCUGCUGGGACGCUAGCUUCCAGUGGGAUUUGGGGCAUCUGUUUCUUUAUCACCCAAAGGCAGGAGGUGGGCUGAGGGCGUCCUGUUUUACAGUCGGCAGCUAUUUGAUUUGAACAGUAAGUUGAUGACUUUGGCCCUGCCAUUAAGGAGCUGACAGAUUGUGACCAAUGAGGUUAGGAUGACUGUAGGACAGUUUUGCCCUCGGUUAGGAGGGGCUUGCCAAGUUCUACUGACAUUGGUUGGGGACCACAGAAGGAAGCAUCAUCAUGUAAGGUAUAUGGCCCCCUUACAUUAGCCUAGUCCACAACACGGCUGAUCCUAGGAAAAAGAUCAUUCUGCCAAUGAAUUUUUUGAAGGUAUGGGGCAGACAGCACAGCAUUUCUCCUCCAAAAGCUCAAGCUUGCUGACUCAGUCUCUUUUCUCAUCUUUCUGGCAUGUCACUGCUCUCAGUAGAAGAUUUGUGCAACCAUUGGGUACAAAUUCAAGUGUUACCAAAGGGACACUUUCUGAUUAAAUGGGACCAUCUUGCUCUAGGGGCCAUCUGGCUAUCAGUGGAAUUUUGCGGGGGGCGGGGGGUCCAUUAAUACUUGUAACCUCCCUUGAAAUUCAGCCUUUUUCUCUGCAAGCUGGAAGACAACAGUUCAGGGCACUUGUGCUGCUGCUAUGGCUGUGUGUGUAUGUGAUGGGAAAUGCUGGUUGCCAAGCAGCAGAGAAUGGACAUAAUCGUGCUGCCUAGCAACAGCGGCAGCGUGGUCACUUACACAGAUUUCUGCGCCUCUUCCUGUUUGGUCUGCUGGAAAAUACAGAUGGCUUCCGUGGGUCGCUGUCUGCCCUAGUCACAAUGAGACGUAGGUAACCCUGGUGAACCAUGGUGGAUAAAUACACAAGUGCAGGCUUUAAAAUAAUUACUUUCCAAACUGUCAAGGGCUGAUUGCUGAUUUUUGCACAGCAUUCCUCAGUUUCCCCUUUGAAGUUAUUGUGCACAACAGGCCAAGUAGGUUGGCUGUUAAGCCAGAAGAGGAAUCUUAGAAAAGUCCCAGACUUCUCUGGAUGCUGCCUUUACUGAGCCUGGUGAGCCUUUACUCCGCACGUGUGAAUAAAAUAUGAAACAGUCAAUUUUCUGAUAAAGACACACACACACACAAUGUGAAAAAGACAAGAGGAGCAGAGCGUGACUACCUAUUGUUCUUUGGGGACUGAAGAACAAAGCAGGCAAGAGAAAGGCAGGCCAUCCCUGCUGGCUUGCCCUUUCUCCCAGCUCUGACCAGCACCUCUCACACGUGACACUCCUCAGUGAGGUCACCUGCGCACUACAGAUGCCAAGGAUGCUUGCUUGGCACAGGCCUCCUGGGUCAGAGGGCCGGCCUUUGCUCUUCUUGGCGGUUCUGUGUAUGGAGCACUGGGAGUGUUUGCAGCUGAAUGCUUAAGGAAGAUAUUAUCUGGCAGUGGGAAAAGGGAGUGAGUCUGUGCUCUCUCCUACCCCUCUCGGGUGAGUAAGUACUGCCUGCCUGUUUUCUGUCUCUAGGAGUUGAAUUGGCCAGCCCAAACUACAGGCCUGGCGUCAGAAGACCCUGGUUCAAUCUUUAUUUUGACUGCCUGCCAAUGGUGCGGCUUUCUGCAAGCCACUUGGUCCACCUGAACCUUUGUGUUCUUGUCUGUAAGGGAUAGCAAUAUCUGCCUCACAGAGUGGCUUGACGGUUCAAAAAGGCAUGUUUGUUGGCACAUCUGGCAUGCAGCAAGUAUAAGUACUUGUUGCUGUUAGCCUCCUCCCAGUGGUUAAAGAGCAGGAAGUGAGGAGAAGAAGACAAGCACUGUCGCAGCCUAUUCAGUACACACUUAAACCUCUUGGAUUCUGUCUUCAGUCUUAGCCUUUGAAGUGAAGAGCCAUUAUUUCCCUCCAUUUAGGUUGGAGAAGACAAGACUGCCCUCCUUUUGAUGCUUGACUUGGUUCCUAGGGAGCCUGGAAGGUAUUAAUCUAUUUUUAGUGGUUUCUUAGAUAAUCCUUACAGAAUCAGGAUGGUUUGCUCCCAUUUCACAGAUGAUGAGACAGUAAUACAGAACAAUGAGAUUGUUUGUUUGGGGUCCUAGAGACCAUUGGUUCCAAGAUGGGAUCAAAAUCCUAGGGCCUAAUGGGGUACAUGAAGCCCCUGGCAAAGCCAGAGGGGAUGGAGUAGUGUAGAAAGUCACUGUGGAGUCAGAAGGUUCUAGGAGCGGAUGAGACUUGAACUUUAGACUUCAAAAUUGCCAUAUUAGUGAGUCUCCUCUGGACAGAUUGCAGCGUGGCUUCUGGGAGCCUAUGUGAGGUAGGUGGAUCAGCAGGGUUGAAAGAAGGCCUUGUGACUUCUCUGUUCCUUCUGUAUGUCUAUGUUUGUAUGUCUAUUAGUAUGUCUGUUACCCUGCGGAGGGGCAGAGGGAUUCCAACGGGGAAGGCUCCUGGUUCCCACCUUGCCUCGCUCAUUGAAGUCCUGCUAAGCGCUCUCAUUCUUCAGUUUCGCCAGUACGGAUGAUGAUAAUGUUGACCUGUUUCUCAGAGUAAGUAGGUCUAGGGUCGGGAAUUAUCACCUUUGACUAUUCUAAAGUGCUCCAGUCAGCAAAUUGCUCCUUGCCCAACGUAGAUCCUUGGGAACGAUGUGACGACACUAGCGUGAAGGACAGUAUGUACUUAUUUUCAUUGGUUACUUGUGUCUUGAAGCAAACACAGGCACAAUCUUCCAGACAAACAACUGUUAACAGCUUAACUUCUCUGUCAAAGGAGGGCCUGGGUCUCUCAGAGCCCUUCUGGCUCUCAGAGUUAUAACCUCUCCAGGAUGCCAGUGUCCUCGGCUGUUUCUUGUUCUCUGUGCAGGGAGAGACCAUCCCCUCAGAGCAGCCCUUCUGGGACUUUGAGCAGAAAGUUUAAAAGCAGUGUGGUUCUAAAAUUCCACACCACCUGUUCUUUCAGUUGUGUCCUCUCUGAGCUGCCUCUGACUGUCGCAUUCCAUGGCCGUGUGCCACUGCUGACUCGUGAUACUCGUCUUAGCGUUUUACUUGCGAGUUGGGGGCAGGGAGGAAGGAGAGAGAAGAUAUGAGAGGGAAGGAGAGGAGACAUGGGUGGGGUCCACACACUCAUCUCUUCAUUAUUAAAGGGGUGCAGUGGCUCCCACUAUGGCACCCAGGAAACUAGCUCAGGCCAGGAGGACACCCAGUGACCUGAUAGAGACCAGUACAGCAAUUAGGCCUUUUUCCCUAGCAGACAUGCUUCCUCAGCUGCCUCCUACUUGGUUCUAUCUGGAAAUGACCUGCCUUCUUGUGGCCUGGUUUCAUGUGGUUCUCUCUGUGAGACUCUUGGUAGAAGCCUUGGUUACUACCAAAGGCAGCUUGUGGUGCAGCCUCAGCCCCAGCCUGGCUCAGAGGUAUUCUCUCAGCUGUUCAUUGGGUAGGCACAUAAUGAAGAAGAAACAAGGCCUGAGGAACAGCUUCAAGGCUCUGUGUCUUCCCCAGUGGAUUUCAAGAAUUCCAGUUCUUAUUCUGGUCAGAGAGCAUUGUGAGGAAGGAGAUUUUAUUGUCUGCUGUCACCCUCCAAAUGGUGUGUGCUUGUGGAUUGGUAUCCUUUCCAUGACAAAUAUCACAUAUUGUGUUUGUUUCUGUAUGGUUACAGCGACUUUUGGUAUUCAGCUAACACCCUUCCUUUAAGGAAGUUAGAAGACUUGAUAAAUUCUAAGUCUUUGAUCCUCACAAGUACUUCUGGAAAAUUGAGGUCCGGUGAGAUAAAGUACUUUGAUUAGUUAUAGAACAUGCAUACUGCUUUUUGGUUGUUCCUUUUCUCUCUCUCCUCUCUCCCCUUUUCCUACUUCCUCUUCCUCUCCCUCUCUCUUUCACCCUCCCUCUAUUUUGUUAGGAAAUUAUUUUAAGGUAGAGGUUAGCAGUAUUCUGCUUUCACAUGAUAAGCCCCGUCUCUAGUACUGUUUAUUUCUAUUGGUCUAUUUUUCAGAGGUGCUUAUGUGCGUUUCCACAUGUCCAUCACCAUCCGUCUGAGGGAGUGUGCAUGAGAAGGUGGUAGUCACCUCACUUCAGAAGGGAGGGAACUGAGUACAGUCUUGUUCUAUCUUGUGGAAACUGAGUCCCAGUGAGUGGAAGUGUCUUGCCGAGGGGAUGUGACUAUGAAUAAGAAAUGGAAGUAAAAACAGGCCCCAGAUAUUUCACCUGGCUCUCACCUACAUUACUCCAAAGUUUGGUCUCAGACUAGGACAUUUGGGGCAUCGCUCCACUGUCAUGUGGAGAACUACCCAAGUAUGUCUCAGUGGUUGAUUAAGACAGAAAAUCUUUCAGGAGUGAAUUGAAACUUGUUGGGGCAGUUGCUGUGGUCCUGAGGCCUAAGGAUUGGCAUUACAACCUUGUCUUAUAAAGUCCUAGUACAUAGCAGGUGUUCGGUAUGCAUUUAUUGAUUUGAUUAGGUAUUUUUAUCAUGGCGAACACAGUUCCUUUAAUAUCAGCAAAGACGUAGUGAAUAUAUGCUACUCACCUCCGAGAACAAUAGACGUUAGGAGAUGUUAGAAGGAAGUAUAGAAAAACCUCUCUGCCUUCAAGGAGCUCACAGUCUAGUGGUGGAGACAGGACAUGAUACAAAAUGUCUGUUCUCUGCUUUGACAGGAGUUACUGUGAUGAUUUUAAGGUAAUAGGCCACUUCUUAUUCUUUCGCCCAGCCCAGCUGUUUCAGAGGAAACGAUAGAGAGGCGGGCUUCUGCUGUGAUGGAAGUGAUGUUUUAUUUUAAGAUAAAAUAUGGAAGCAACUGAUUGAUGGAUUAUAAACUUGGAGGUCCAGGAUAAAGCUUUAUUCUGGGGGCAUCAGUAUAUUUCACUGGGAGCCUCCUGGGCAUUAAUUCUGCCGUUAAUUUUGUUAUUAGAGACCUAGCCAAACAAAGGGAGGUGGCGAAGCUCGAGGCUGGUUUAACCUUGAUGAAACAGUGAUUUCACCAAGGAUGAUGUUCCCCCAUCUAUCUUCAUCCAUCAAGGCACUGCUGAAAUAUGCUAAUGAAGCCCGAAGAUAGGAGCACAGAGCAGUUAAAUGGGGCGUUGCAGACGUUCUCCGUACCCCUGUGACAGGGCGAUGCCACUUACUGUCCAGAUUUAGUAUAGGAAGGAGAGCAAUGCUGAUGUGGUCUUGUGGUGAAAGAUAGAAGAUAGGUGGAGGUUCCACCUAGCAGAAAUGAAGGGCACGAUGCAGAGGUAUACACUCCGGAAUAAGACGGAAAAGCUUGGGUUUUGGUGAAGGGGUUGACUUCCUUUAUUCUCUUUGACUCACCUUCUAGCUAAUCUAUAUAAGAAGCAAAUAUAUGCAGUUAAGGAAGCAUUUUUGUUGCUAAGUUCCAGAAUGUGAGUGCCCACUUUGUGCCAAGUCAUCUUUUCUGUCUCCAUGUCAGUUUGCAUCACCAUGUUUGUUUCCAAUGGUUAAAUGAGCAAGUACCUUUUUUAAAGUUAUAAUUUAUUGGGUACUUAUUCAUAUGUUACAUACAUACAUUAUUGGGCUUACUAGCAAGUUAUUUCAUAUACCUCAAUCUAAUCAAAUUCUUACAAGCAUCCUAUGAAAAAGUGAAAUUAUAGCAAAUAUUUUACAGAAGAGUUUUGGGAGGUUAAAUUCAUGUCCAAAGUCACAUAGCUAGCAAGUAGUGGUUACAGUUCAAACACGUGUCCAUCCACUCCAAAGCAUGAAACCUCCAUGGUCCGAUGGCUCCUAGACAGGGUGUAUCUGGGAAUCGCUGCUAACUGUUGGGAGUCACUUGGCUCACUUACAUAUUUCUAUAUUCUUUGGAUUCACUUUAACUUUACUAUGCCUUUCACGAGUUGUUCUUUCCUAAAUAGACCAUAAGCUCUCUGAGGCCCGGGGUAGGGCCCUCUCUCUAGUCCCCCAAACACAACUGAGCAAUUUGAUUUAUAACUCACGUAUCCAUGGUUGAUACCCUAGCUUCUGUAUGGAGUGCUUAUUUUGGCAUUGUGCUUCUAGUGGAUGGUAAAAUAAAGCUGGCCAGCUGCUUUCUGGUUUCAUAUAUUAGAUGAAAGCCAUUGAGGGUUUUAUUUGUCUUUACAAGGGAAUCCUAUAGGAAUCACAGUAAAAUUUCUGAUGCUUUCAGUUUAUUGGUGGAUCCACUUCUGUUUUCUGCCAGUUGGCUGGCUUCGUCUAUCUAGUCCAUAUCCAACCACACGGAGAAAAAAGUAAAUAACAACUGAAAUUUCGUGAUUCCUUAUUAAACUGCAUCUUCCAGCCAGUCCAUUCUAGGAGCUAUGUAUAAAAUUGUGCUGAUCCUAAACCGGUAAGGUAGCCAGCCGAUCUUCUUUGCCAAGAUACAGAUUCUAAACUAUGAAGUGGCCUUAGAAAUCAGGCACAAGAAUUCCCAAAUCUAAAAUGAUUUUCAGCCAUUUUUUUUCCAGUGGAGAUGGAGGAAGGCAGAAGCUAAAAAGAGAAAAGAAAGAUGGAUUUUAAAAAAAAUUUCAAUAAGAUGCUAAGUGACAUACAUUCUCUGAAAUAAACUGUGCCAGAAUAAAAUCACCAUGUUGGCCAUAAAGUCUUUUCUGCCAUUUAUCAAGCCAGUUUGAAGUUUGGGGACUCUAAACUGUUAUUAAAGAGUUAAUAACCAAAGGCCUGGAACUUCCAGGACGUCGUGUGGGUCAGUGUAUCUUGCCAAAAGGUAACAUCAGCCAGUGGAGUCAGUUGGGCUCUCCGUCUGGCAGAUCUGUCUUUCUCAGCUGCUCCUCCUCCACUUUCUAGUCUUGGAGUUCAUAUACAGUAAAUCUUUCUCUUAAUAAAGCCAUUUUUCAAAUCUGACUUUGGACUAGGGACUGCUUUUUCUCCAAAUGCAACAGCUGUUAAACAUGGUGCAUUGGGCACGGUGUAUAUCUCUUUGUUUAGUUUUGGGUUUUUAAUAUGAGCAGAGACAUAAAGGAGUGGGAGGGCUCUAUCGAUUUCUUUCUACCCAGAGUCAGCCACUGGGUUUGGAAAUAAGGCCUCCAGCCUCACAAGGCCCCUGGACUCCCUGGGCUACUCACCCUUGAAGACGAAGCCUAUUGUCCCCUAAUAACCAGCACAGGGUACCCCUUCCUUUUGGCGAGAUGAAAUUGUGGAGCUCAAGGUGUCAGCCAGCGGGGCCAGACCUUUUGGCCCUUAUCUGUCCCAGUUACAUGGGGAAAGGCAUUUUUGCCCCCUUGCUCUCUCAUCCUUCUGUCACUGUCUCUGUUCCCAAUGCGCUGGGGAGCAUUAACUCCCUGCAGGGGAAAAAAGUUCACAAAAGAAAUGAAUUAUGCAUAUGGAAUUCAUUUCCUUGAUGAAUAGGGAAUCUGAACAAACUCCAUGGCUGUUCGAUUUUAAGGCAGAGAGGAAGGGAGUGGGUAGGGCUAAACAGUAUAAAGGGGGGUGAUCAAAAAGAAUUUGGAGCAAGAGGUGGGAGAAAAAUGAUGGCAGAAGGACUUGGGCUUGAAAUAUUAAGGGCGAAGUAAGUGGCCCUGUGAAAGUAGUUCAUGGCCCAUUAUUCUUGACAAUAUAUACCCUCUAAUACGUACCUUACUCCCAAUUAAUGUGCAAAUAUUUCAGUGGAGAAAUGGACGGUGGUGGUAAGAUUAGACUGGGGAGAAAUGACACCACCAUGGUGGCAGGACCCUGCUGAAUUCAAGUUUUGUAGUGACUUCUGACUUACUUCGUUAGAGGUUAACAGGGAACGCUUUGAAUUUUGAGCCAGAAAUUGUGUGGUGGGCAGAGCGCUGCACUUAGGAGUGGUAGACUUGGAGCCGAGCUCUAGGAUACAGACCGUGUGACCUUGGGCAAGUCAUUUCACCUUUCUCAGCCUCAGUCGUCUCAUCUGUAAAUGGGGAGCAUGACAUCUGCCUCGUGGAGGUACUAGAAGUAAAAGAAAGUGCUUUGACAAGGAACACAAAAUGCAAAUCUGAAGAGAUUUUAUUUUUCUAUCUCUGCCUUCUUUCCUUGACAGCCUUCUAGAUGUUCAGACCUAGUCUUUAAGCAAGCCGGAAUUUCUUUGGAGCAGAAUGAAGGAGAAAUGGAUUCAGGAGCACAUGGUGGUUAAAGAAAUAAGUGAAGAAACAAACAAAAAAUUCUGUUGUAAUCCUCACCUCAUCUACAUUAGGAAAAUCAUUGAAAAUAAUCAAUCUGAUGUUUUUGGCAAAUUUAGCCACUGAAUCAGUACUUGUUGCUGCAUAACUGGUUUGAUCGACAGUAGGAACGCUUGUCCUUGACAGCUACAUAAAUUAAGGAGUCAACCUGAAGGUGGAUUUUAGAGUUUCUUCUAUAGGCUGACUACCAGGAAGGGGCAGUCUCUUUCUUGACUGCCAAAGACCUGUGGAUGCUUCUCCUGGCUUCUAAUUGUUCUCCAUUACUCAUUUCUUCUGAAUGAAAAAAGGGCUUGGGGACCCUAAGUCUUCAGAGGAGGUAACAGAGUCACACGCAUGCAUGCAUGCACACUACACAUAUGUUAGGGAGAGUCCCUGCUUGCUGAGGGAGAUCUUUUGAUAGUCUUGGGGGACUUAAAUCUUAUUUCAGGAUUGAGUGAAUUGAACAGACCCGACCACUGCCAUGUCUCUUUAUUUUUCUUACAACCCAAUUGCAAUACAUGCAGUUUUCACAGAGGUGUACUUGUUUUUCAACAAAUGCCUUCUUUUUCUUGUUUUUUUUGUUGGGGGGGUGGGGGGAUGAAGAUGUGUAAUGUGAGGAUGCGUAAUGUAAUGAAAUUGUAUCUUUUGGGCUGCCCAUCAUAAACACGCGAUACAACUGUGUGUCCUGUGGUGCAGUAGUUUUCAAUCCAUGCCCCUCAGGGCCCAGGAAGGGUGGGGGGCGCCCCACGGCUGUCCUCCUGGCUCUGGGCUUCCACCCCAACUUCAACCCCUGCACUUCUGUUUCAUGGAUUUUAUUUGUUUGACUUUGUGGGUAAGAGUCUGCCUCUAAGAAAUGUUUGAAACCCAGUAAUGCAGAGAAUAGACCAAUACCUAGUAUGAAUUAUUUAUUUGUUUAUUAAGAUUUUCAUGGCACCUUUCCUCUCAAAGUUCCGGGCACUAUAUGGAACGCUUCAAACUGAUAGCAUUUGGCACUAAAGAUUGAGAACAAGGCCAGUGGUUGAGGAAACACUAGGCAAGAUGGGAAAAAAAGGAAGAAAAAGAAGAGGGAAUAGAAGUUGGCUGUUCAGACCUCAGAGAUAACCCUUGAGCCAGAGGAAGCGGGUCAUGAAGACCUGCGGCUCUGCGGGGAGGAAUCCAUCUCUACCAAUAAGCUGGGUUAUUAGGGAAAGUCACUUCACCUUUCUGAGCCUCCUCCACUAUAUGGCGGUGACCUAGUUGACCCUCCAGGCCCCUCCCAGGUCUGAUCUUUCAUGGAGGCUGAGAAGCUUAGCUUUUAGGUGAGCAGGCCUAACACUCCCACCAAGUCGUUAUGGUAAUAAAAAUGUUUUUUUAAUGUUAUGCAUAAACCUUUUAAUAACGAGUGUAUUUGGUACAGAGUGGUUUUUUUCAACUCUGGCUGCACAUUAAAAUUACCUGGGGAACUUUUAUAAAAUACCACCAAUGCCUGGGCUCCAUCCUGGAAAAAUGAGAUCGGAACCUUUGGGAGCUGCUGCUGAGCAUUCGUAUUUUCUCAAAGGGUCCCAGCUUCUUGUGUUGUGCUCCAAGGUGGUAAAGUACUGCUGUGGGGAACUGGGGAGGGUGAUUAGAGGAGGCGAGAUUGAGAAUGCCCAAAGAGAGGAAAG